CCCGACGACAUGAUGCCGCUUACUCCUGG
Molecule: small RNA, 29 nt
Filed under: Bombyx mori (domestic silkworm)
Lineage: Eukaryota; Metazoa; Arthropoda; Insecta; Lepidoptera; Bombycidae
Description: ovarian small RNA-13682
Source: RNAcentral